GGAAUAAUUAUUUGAGAUACAGUAAGAGUUGACAUUACCUAUUAUGUGUGCAAACUACAUAGAGUAUUAUACAAUAUCAAACAAAAUGUACCAACACCUGCUAUACAUAGGUUGCAACCGCAGUACGUUUAUUGCUCUGGCACUCUGCCAGCACAAAGAAGAUAUCUUGGAUUUCAAGUAUUGUCUUUGAGAUCUGAUACAUCAAUGCUUGAGAAACACAGUUUAAUAGCGUUUGGAAAUUCUUGGCAUUGAACAUCUAUUCUUUCUGUCAUGGUAAAGUCUCAGAACAAUAACAGCUGUUUCUUCAAUAGCUUUAGACGUAACUUCUAUCACUGGCCAGACAGGAUUUUGCGCAAAAAUUUUCCCUGCGUAUUCCAAUUCUUCUUUCACGUAAUCCAUGUCACAAUAGUUGGUCUUCAGUUGUCCGUCCAUACCCAGAGUCUUAGCUCUUGCUCUUCUGAUGGAUUGCAGAACAACGGGAUUUAUUGUCAAAGCAAAAACCUUUUCCGGGUUAACUUCAAACAGUGUACUUGGUAAGUCUAUAUUCAUGACAAUGGGGACAUUAGCUACUUUAUAUCCUUUCUGUGCUAGAUAAAUGGAUAGCGGUGUCUUCCCACUUCGUGAAACACCAGUUAGAACUAUAUCCGCCAUAUGCAGGUUUCGCGGCAAGGCACCAUCAUCUUGCUUUAUGGUAAAUUCAAUUGCUUCAAUCCUCCUGAAGUAUUCCUCGCUGAGAGGAGAUUUCUGCCUCUCAGGAGCCCAACGAGAAAGGCCAGAAGGUGAAACACCAAGAUGGCCAGCAAUUGCCUCUGUAAUUGGCCCGAGUAUAUCACUAGAUGCUACGCCCCAGUGUUCACAUGCUUGUUUGGCAAAUUGAGCCAUGGAAGGCUCAGCUAAAGUAUAGACAACCAUUGCCCCUUCUUUGGCUGCUUGCUUCACUAUCUCCAUUAAUUUUUCAACAUCAUCAAUCCCAGAGAACAAGUGAGUAUUCACAGGGCAAACACGAUCGACUAAGCAAUAAUCAAAUUGACCUAAAGCUGCGUUAACGGCGUGCUCCGCCGUCCAUCCGGUUCCAUCAGACACCAUAAAUAUCGGUUUUCCACCAUUAACCUCCUUUUCAUCGUCUGACGACCAGGACCUGCUAUCACCUAUAGGCAAUUCAAUUUCCGGUUCACUUCGAACCGGUGAACCAGACUUGUCGCGUAAUUCAGUGCUCACAGCGGACCGGUCUAGUUUCCUGCCGGACCGGAUGCUUCGAGCUCUGGACCACCGGUUUAGCUGAGGGCUGGCUUUAAUCCUUCGUACCUGCGACUGAGAAUCAUCGGAAUUAUCAGAAAUCGCCGGUGGAGAUGGACUGUUUCUGGUGCCGCUGCCGGAACCGGACACGCGUAAGCUAG
RNAcentral lists this unclassified non-coding RNA (1397 nucleotides) under Hevea brasiliensis (rubber tree). Lineage: Eukaryota; Viridiplantae; Streptophyta; Magnoliopsida; Malpighiales; Euphorbiaceae. The record is from RNAcentral.